RNAcentral lists this transfer RNA (67 nucleotides) under Marmota monax (woodchuck). RNAcentral's name for it is "tRNA.Ala". Lineage: Eukaryota; Metazoa; Chordata; Mammalia; Rodentia; Sciuridae. The record is from RNAcentral.
GGUUGUGGCUCAGUGGCGGAGUGCUUGCCUAGCAUGCCUAAGGCACUGGGUUCAAUCCUCAGCACCA